AUAGGCGGAGCAGAGUCAGUCGACCAAUCAGCGUUUUGUCUACAGACGUCGGCUUACGUGUGUCGUCAUCGGAAGUGACUUGCUUGCACAGAGACACGGAAAAACAAAAUCUGAAAGAAACGUUAAAAAUAUAGAAUAAAACCAACGUUUGAGUCAUGGCUUCACCGCUUUGAUUUCUUAGCACCGUGAGAAACACCAUUACUGAACAAGUCUGGAUGCUAAAACGGGCUCUGGAGUUGCUUUUGUCGAACAUGAGUGAGACUGGAGGCUGAGCACACCAGCGGGUCUACUUACUCAGCUGCUUCAGCCUGGAGGGAAACACCAACUCUAACCUUACAGACCAAAGAGGUCUACUUGUUCAGUUGCUGCAGCCUGCAGGGAAACACCAACUCUCACCUUACAGUCCAAAGAGGUGUCACCACUUCAUUCACCACAUCGUCCAAGAUUGCCAAGAUGUCAUCCACUAUCGCAGAGACAUGGUCCAUGAUCGGAGAGACAUUGUUGAGGACGAGGGAGACAUCGUCCACGAUCAGAGACAUUGUCCAUGAUCACAGAGACCUUGUCAAAGAUGAGAGAGACGUUGUCCAUGAUCAGAGACAUUGUCCCAUGCUUCGUAGAGACCUUGCGAUAGAAUCGGCGGAGACGGGGGUCACCGAUUUGACGGCACUGCCCGCGAUCAUGGAAACAUUGUUGAUGAUCACAGACACAGCGUCUAUGAUCUCAGAGACAUCGUCCACGAUCACGAAGACAUUGUUCAUGAUCACAGAGACUUUGUCCAUAAUCUCAGAGACAUUGUCCACGAUCACAGAGACGUAGUCCGCGAUCACAGAGUGUCUUCGUGCAAUGAGGAAGUUCUUUGACACCAGGACAGAGGCCU
This is a long non-coding RNA of Lates calcarifer (barramundi perch), 877 nucleotides long. RefSeq lists it as uncharacterized. The record is from RefSeq and is a predicted model, not a curated record. Lineage: Eukaryota; Metazoa; Chordata; Actinopteri; Centropomidae. The transcript has 4 exons.